RNAcentral lists this ribosomal RNA (462 nucleotides) under Bacillus pumilus. Its description in RNAcentral is "bacterial SSU rRNA". It matches the Rfam family "Bacterial small subunit ribosomal RNA", at positions 338 to 795 of the family's 1533-position model. Lineage: Bacteria; Bacillati; Bacillota; Bacilli; Caryophanales; Bacillaceae. The record is from RNAcentral.
CCUACGGGAGGCAGCAGUAGGGAAUCUUCCGCCCCCGACGAAAGUCUGACGGAGCAACGCCGCGUGAGUGAUGAAGGUUUUCGGAUCGUAAAGCUCUGUUGUUAGGGAAGAACAAGUGCGAGAGUAACUGCUCGCACCUUGACGGUACCUAACCAGAAAGCCACGGCUAACUAUGUGCCAGCAGCCGCGGUAAUACGUAGGUGGCAAGCGUUGUCCGGAAUUAUUGGGCGUAAAGGGCUCGCAGGCGGUUUCUUAAGUCUGAUGUGAAAGCCCCCGGCUCAACCGGGGAGGGUCAUUGGAAACUGGGAAACUUGAGUGCAGAAGAGGAGAGUGGAAUUCCACGUGUAGCGGUGAAAUGCGUAGAGAUGUGGAGGAACACCAGUGGCGAAGGCGACUCUCUGGUCUGUAACUGACGCUAGACCAAAGCGUGGGGAGCGAACAGGAUUAGAUACCCUGGUAGUC